Small nuclear RNA from Choloepus hoffmanni (Hoffmann's two-fingered sloth), 108 nucleotides. The record is from Ensembl. Lineage: Eukaryota; Metazoa; Chordata; Mammalia; Pilosa; Megalonychidae.
GUAUUUGCUUGGACAGCACAUAUACUAAAAAUUGGAUCAGUACAGAGAAGAUCAGCAUGAUCCCUGCACAAGGGCAACACACAAAUUCACAAAGCACCCAAUACUUUG